RNA transcript from Peromyscus maniculatus bairdii (prairie deer mouse), 453 nucleotides. RefSeq lists it as uncharacterized. The record is from RefSeq and is a predicted model, not a curated record. NCBI's taxonomy places the organism in Eukaryota, Metazoa, Chordata, Mammalia, Rodentia, Cricetidae.
CGGCCUCGGCGGACACGCAGCAGGGCCCCCGCGGGGCGGCGCUGCGGGUCGAGUCCGGGCCCGGUGGUGGGCGCCGGACGGUGCAGCGACGGGCCCGCGGGGCCGGCUGACGUGCACCCAGGGCCGGGCGUCCGCAGCGGUUACCCACUCGGUUCUGCAUGGAGCCAGCUCUGCACACCCGCGGGGAGACAGCCUGCCUGACUGGCAUCAUUGGGUGAGCUCUGAGAUGUCAGGGCCUGAGACAUGAAAUAGUCACGUGGUUGAAAAGGGCUUGAGGUCUCCUUUCUAACACUAACAUUCGAUGGCCUGGAUGUACCUCUGCUUGCUUGCUGAAGGAGUUCAUGGUUUCUUCCAAGUACCUGUCAUUAUGAUUACAGCUACUGUAAACAUCUGUGUGCAAGCUCGUAUGGACACAAUGCUCUCUGUUAGGUAAAUACAAAAGUCUGGUUGCUG